Molecule: ribosomal RNA, 1372 nt
Filed under: uncultured bacterium
Lineage: Bacteria
Description: bacterial SSU rRNA
Rfam family: Bacterial small subunit ribosomal RNA
Source: RNAcentral
GAUGAACGCUGGCGGCGUGCCCAAUACAUGCAAGUCGAGCGAACGGACGAGAAGCUUGCUUCUCUGAUGUUAGCGGCGGACGGGUGAGUAACACGUGGAUAACCUACCUAUAAGACUGGGAUAACUUCGGGAAACCGGAGCUAAUACCGGAUAAUAUUUUGAACCGCAUGGUUCAAAAGUGAAAGACGGUCUUGCUGUCACUUAUAGAUGGAUCCGCGCUGCAUUAGCUAGUUGGUAAGGUAACGGCUUACCAAGGCAACGAUGCAUAGCCGACCUGAGAGGGUGAUCGGCCACACUGGAACUGAGACACGGUCCAGACUCCUACGGGAGGCAGCAGUAGGGAAUCUUCCGCAAUGGGCGAAAGCCUGACGGAGCAACGCCGCGUGAGUGAUGAAGGUCUUCGGAUCGUAAAACUCUGUUAUUAGGGAAGAACAUAUGUGUAAGUAACUGUGCACAUCUUGACGGUACCUAAUCAGAAAGCCACGGCUAACUACGUGCCAGCAGCCGCGGUAAUACGUAGGUGGCAAGCGUUAUCCGGAAUUAUUGGGCGUAAAGCGCGCGUAGGCGGUUUUUUAAGUCUGAUGUGAAAGCCCACGGCUCAACCGUGGAGGGUCAUUGGAAACUGGAAAACUUGAGUGCAGAAGAGGAAAGUGGAAUUCCAUGUGUAGCGGUGAAAUGCGCAGAGAUAUGGAGGAACACCAGUGGCGAAGGCGACUUUCUGGUCUGUAACUGACGCUGAUGUGCGAAAGCGUGGGGAUCAAACAGGAUUAGAUACCCUGGUAGUCCACGCCGUAAACGAUGAGUGCUAAGUGUUAGGGGGUUUCCGCCCCUUAGUGCUGCAGCUAACGCAUUAAGCACUCCGCCUGGGGAGUACGACCGCAAGGUUGAAACUCAAAGGAAUUGACGGGGACCCGCACGAGCGGUGGAGCAUGUGGUUUAAUUCGAAGCAACGCGAAGAACCUUACCAAAUCUUGACAUCCUUUGACAACUCUAGAGAUAGAGCCUUCCCCUUCGGGGGACAAAGUGACAGGUGGUGCAUGGUUGUCGUCAGCUCGUGUCGUGAGAUGUUGGGUUAAGUCCCGCAACGAGCGCAACCCUUAAGCUUAGUUGCCAUCAUUAAGUUGGGCACUCUAAGUUGACUGCCGGUGACAAACCGGAGGAAGGUGGGGAUGACGUCAAAUCAUCAUGCCCCUUAUGAUUUGGGCUACACACGUGCUACAAUGGACAAUACAAAGGGCAGCGAAACCGCGAGGUCAAGCAAAUCCCAUAAAGUUGUUCUCAGUUCGGAUUGUAGUCUGCAACUCGACUACAUGAAGCUGGAAUCGCUAGUAAUCGUAGAUCAGCAUGCUACGGUGAAUACGUUCCCGGGUCU